GCCCGGGUGGUGGAAUCGGUAGACACAAGGGAUUUAAAAUCCCUCGGCGGCAACGCCGUACGAGUUCAAGUCUCGUCCCGGGCA
RNAcentral lists this transfer RNA (84 nucleotides) under Leminorella richardii. It matches the Rfam family "tRNA". Rfam says of the family: Transfer RNA (tRNA) molecules are approximately 80 nucleotides in length. Their secondary structure includes four short double-helical elements and three loops (D, anti-codon, and T loops). The record is from Rfam by way of RNAcentral. Lineage: Bacteria; Pseudomonadati; Pseudomonadota; Gammaproteobacteria; Enterobacterales; Budviciaceae.